UAAUUUCAUAUACAUGUUGUAUGCACUAACACUUACCGAUAAAACAAAUUAACAAAAAUGCGUUAGCACUUUGGGUGAUAUAAAUGGUCUUUUCUAAAGUCUCUUAAUUAAUAUAAUUGGCAAUGACAAGAUUGAAAACAAGAACAACAUAUUUGCAUUGGGUCAUGGGCUCCUGCCAGGCAAAACACAUCAAAAAUAAAUAAAAAAGAUAUGCUAUCCAAGUUUGAAUAGUAAACGUUAUCCCGAAUGAUCUCUUUUAGCAAAAAGCUACGUGAGUAAGUUCGUAAAGGAUGGGAUUGUCUCACCUUUCUUGUGAUGGGAUUGUCUCAGUAGCAUGAUAAAUAAAAAUAAUUCAAUCGUAAAAGAGAUUUUAU
Long non-coding RNA from Juglans microcarpa x Juglans regia, 374 nucleotides. RefSeq lists it as uncharacterized. The transcript is spliced from 2 exons. The record is from RefSeq and is a predicted model, not a curated record. Lineage: Eukaryota; Viridiplantae; Streptophyta; Magnoliopsida; Fagales; Juglandaceae.